GCUCCCGGAUUCAGCGGCGGACGGGUGAGUAAUGCCUAGGAAUCUGCCUGGUAGUGGGGGACAACGUUUCGAAAGGAACGCUAAUACCGCAUACGUCCUACGGGAGAAAGCAGGGGACCUUCGGGCCUUGCGCUAUCAGAUGAGCCUAGGUCGGAUUAGCUGGUUGGUGAGGUAACGGCUCACCAAGGCGACGAUCCGUAACUGGUCUGAGAGGAUGAUCAGUCACACUGGAACUGAGACACGGUCCAGACUCCUACGGGAGGCAGCAGUGGGGAAUAUUGGACAAUGGGCGAAAGCCUGAUCCAGCCAUGCCGCGUCUGUGAAGAAGGUCUUCGGAUUGUAAAGCACUUUAAGCCGGGAGGUAGGGCUGUAGGCUAAUAUCCUGCAGUUUUGACGUUACCGGCAGAAUAAGCACCGGCUAACUCUGUGCCAGCAGCCGCGGUAAUACAGAGGGUGCAAGCGUUAAUCGGAAUUACUGGGCGUAAAGCGCGCGUAGGUGGUUGAUCAAGUUGGAUGUGAAAGCCCCGGGCUCAACCUGGGAACUGCAUCCAAAACUGGUCGGCUAGAGUACGGUAGAGGGUGGUGGAAUUUCCUGUGUAGCGGUGAAAUGCGUAGAUAUAGGAAGGAACACCAGUGGCGAAGGCGACCACCUGGACUGAUACUGACACUGAGGUGCGAAAGC
RNAcentral lists this ribosomal RNA (682 nucleotides) under Pseudomonas sp. J42. RNAcentral describes it as "bacterial SSU rRNA". It matches the Rfam family "Bacterial small subunit ribosomal RNA", at positions 82 to 760 of the family's 1533-position model. The record is from RNAcentral. Lineage: Bacteria; Pseudomonadati; Pseudomonadota; Gammaproteobacteria; Pseudomonadales; Pseudomonadaceae.